CCGGUGGGUUAUUGCGAAUCUAUCCAGAAGGGCAGAAUAGGAUUGCUGAGGUGGAACCACUGUUUGACCGCCUGCUGUUUUUCUGGUCAGACAGACGUAACCCUCAUGAGGUGCAACCUGCCUAUGCUGUCAGGUACGCAGUGACGGUGUGGUACUUUGAUGAAACAGAGCGCCGGCAAGCAAUGAAGAAAUAUCGGAAUGAGAUCAUGGAGAGAUCACAGAAGGAGUGACUGUGAGUUUGGCGACUGGCAGCAAAGCAGCAGUGAAACCCCAGCGGGAAGGUAGUGCCUUCUGUCCUGUGAAAAAACCGAACAGAGAUGGUCUGAGAAAGUCUCUGGUUGCCUCCAUUGCUUUACGUGCUGCGCGUAACCCGAGGCAGUUGGCAGGCAGAAUGCAACCGAUACCUUGCCUGUUGUGAGAACACGCCGGCGAAAAAUGUGCGGGCCGAAAUCGUGUUUUUGACUCGGAGAAAAAUUAACCGGUACAACUCUGCGUAUGUGAUUGCUUGGUACCAUACAUGUGGCAGCACUAACAAUUGUUUUUCAGCUACCGACUUACCCGCCUAUCUUCCUACCCUCUCACCCAUUUGUCUACCUACCGACCAACCGACCUACCUAUCUUAGAUGCUAGUGACUUGCCCACCUAUCUAUGUACCGACUGACUGACUGACCGACCUAUCUACCUACUGACCUAUCCACCUAUCUACAUGCUUCCCUACAUCGGCACCUACCUACCUGCCAACUUGCCAACGUACCCAUCUACCUACCCAUAUACUAACGCAUCUACCCACCUACCUUGACAUCGACCCACCCCAUAACCAACCUGCCCAAGCACACAACUCGCCCACCUUUUCUCUAAUCAAAUCGCUACUUAAAAAUUCUCCAGUACUACUAACGUAAGCUUCAAAGACUGGAGCAUCACGGGGUGCCUUAUUUGCAGAAUGUUGUCUAGGCGAGUAUAUGCCAGAAAUUAACUCGGAUCGAAUGCGAAAGUGGCAAGCAAAAGUUGCCGGAAAUAUCUCUGUCGGAAAAUGUAUGGAGCAGUUGUGCAUGACUCUGGUGGCCGUUGUCAAUUGUAGAGUUGCGACAAAAGAUCGUAUAGUGCCGGAGGCUAUACGAUCUUUGGUUGCGACUGAGAUAAUGACUGUGAUGUAUCCUACAGGACUAUUAUUACGCUAUGAGUAUAUCAGUGUUAGUAACAUAUCCGAUGAUAACCAGAAAUCAACCUAUCUACUAGGCAUGAGAGACAGGCAGCUCUAGCCAAUUGUUGUGAUAUCACAUUGUAUAAAGCGGUGCUAAACGGGCAACAAAUGCCGCAAAGUUGAGAAUGUGGCACGUACGAACGCGUAAUUGGCCUAGCUUGACUAUCUUAGCAACAAUAUUUUUUUUUGGGGGGGGGGAUUAGCUCUCUCAUAUAGAUAAGCCUUUUUUACAAGGUUGUUGAUUGGGUGAGAAGCGAUUGCCUCUCUAUGUGCGAUGUAUUAUGGUAAAUCACAGAUGUUAAUAUUAUAAAAGUCUAAAAGGCAAGAGAAAAAUUUCAACUUGUGAAUGGUUGAUGUUUUUUAAAGCACGAUGAAUCGGGACUGUGUGUUUACAGAAAUUUUGUGUGUAAAAAUAAGGCUUUACCUCAAAAUAUUAAAUAUAGUCACAAAAGAAUUGGAAUUGUAAUUUUGUUCAAUUAGAUUCCUUGCAAUAUGUACAUUACACUAGGCUAAAUUGUAGACUUACAAUGAAAUAUAGUAGGAUUCAUCAUUGUCAUUGAUGUUAUCACGUAGUUGAUAUUGGUCCUGGACACGGAAGUUACGACUAAGACAAACAAUGCAACCAAUUACCGUUCUGACAACGGCCCCCUGAAUCGCAAGCUUUAACCAAAUCAACAGUAGAUUCUAACGGAUGUUAUAGUACUGCUUAAAUGUAGUGACAUUUUGUUUAAAGUAUUUAUCAUGUUAUGCAAUUUAUUUUCUAAUAGCUACAUGGUUGUGAGAAAGUGAUGCGUCUUUAUUUAGCAACUUGAAGAAUUCCUUUAUUUUAUUGUGAUACCUGUGUUGCAUUAGAUAUGUUACUGGUAUGACUAGUACACCAAAUCAAAUGUCAUCUACCCAUAUGUAAAUCCAUGAGCUAAUUUGGCGAUGAUAACUGAUAUGUGCAUCGAUGCUUGUUGACAAACAACCUCAAUGUACACCCGUCUAUAAAAGACUUAUGGGGUUCCCUCCCUUUGGGUGACCCUUAUAUAUCGAUUUUACUCUAAUUGGGAUAACUUUUAAGUGAUCAACCCCAUUUCCAUUGUGGAGGUUCUGCUCACAGGUUGACCUGCAUUGGACCUGCACCAUGGGGCAGGCUUGAUAUAUACUGGACAGAUAUAAUUCAAGACCCAUCUAGAAAGCUGUUUUGAUGUGCUGCUGUCACUACUAUUUUUAUUAGUAUUUUCUGAAAACCCAUAAAAUAGACUCGUGUGUGAAUAGGAAGCAGUCGGCGGUGAUUUGACUCUUAAAAGCCUGACCUAGCUUUCAUUUAUUAUUAGUGUUACCUCGAGAAUUCAAGGACUUGUGGUGUCUUUAUUCAGUUUGUAAUGUAACCAUAUAUAUAUAUAUAUAUAUAUAUAUAUAUAUCCAAUCUUGCUUGAAUUUGAUCCAGAAAAGGUCCGGGGAGAGAAACCAUCACUAUGAUGACCUUUUUGGAAAGAACUUGAAAAUCCACUUGACCAUUAUGAGUGUUGAUGACUGUUAUGAUUUACUGCUAUAUACUGCUACUAUUACUGCUUAUGCCUUUAAUUACUGGUUUGUCAUAUCUUGAGAUGGCAACGAUCAGAGCUUUUAUAAUCCAGUCUGUAUUGCUUUAAUGUGUAAAAUGCAGCAUCAAUGUAAAUAUGUUAUUCCAUGGACUAUUUAACCCUUUAUCUCUCUCGUUAAUGUCGACAUUGCAUGGCUCAUAAAGUGAGAACCUUUUUCUGUCGGCUGUACUUUACUGAAAGAGGUGCUUUAAACUUUCUUUUUACUGAUAUUCAAAGUUUAACUUGUAGUGAAUUCUUUCAUCUUUAAAAGGGUUCAAACUUCCCAACAAUGAAAUUUCACUGGAGAGUUGUCCUUGUAUAUUGGUAAAAAGAACGUUAUAUGCAUCUUUUAAUAAAACAACAGGAAAGGUUCUUGCUUGGGGAAUCACAGCGGAUUAAGAGUGACAUCUUUUAAAAAGCUCUGUAUUAACAUGAAUGAUAUGGGGGUGAUAAUUGAAACAAAGAAUACUUGCUUGCUAUAUUCCCGUUUGUCUCGCAAUGGGCGGUCAACAAGAAAGUUGGAGAACAUGACGUUUCGUGUGCUACUGCAACACUUCGUUAGGUGAUGCGGCGACGUUGCGAGUGAGGGUAUAUAUACCCCUCGGUUGGAUUCAGCGGUACCCUUGAGCGGUACGACUGCUGGACUGGCCGUGCUGUGAUUGGCUGUCUGGCGCUUGCUGUUUCCUGCGCAGUGACCGGCCGGCUGGCGCCUGCAGGUUCCCGCAUCGUAAUCGGCUGGCUGGCGUUGGCUGUAACCUGCACUGUUGUGGGUCGGACGGCGUGUGCUGCCGCAAGGUGAGAGUCAUGGCGGCGUAUCGUUGUCAUCCAGAAAUUGGAGAUAUCUAACCCGUUGUCUCUGUUAAAGUUGUUGGGGGCGGAGACGAAUGUUAAUGGCUUCUUUCACCCUCUGCGUGUACCAGUGUCGCUCUUGGGCGAGGCACUGUAUCCCUUCCCAGUCAGGUUGGUGCUGGUUCUCCCAUGCGUGUUCGGCCACUGCUGAGCUGUCGGUUCGAAGCAGCCUGACAUCCCUCUUGUGUUCCAUAAUCCUUUCCGCUAUAGGUCGGACUGUUUCACCGAUAUAGGAUCCGUCACACCCUUGGCAAGGGAUGUUAUACACCAUGCCGUCACGUCUGUGUUCAGGAACUGGAUCCGUUGGGCGUACUAGCUGUUUGCGCAGUGUAGAGUCUGAGCGGAAAACGGUCCGAACACCAUGGUUCUCUAGGCGGCGUUUGAGCUGCUGGGAGAUCCCGUCUAUGAAGGGUAAGACCGUGAACGUCUUAUAAUCCUUCGGUUCCUUGGGUUGUGAAGUUUUCUUGGUUGAGGUAUGGAUGAAACGGCGUGGGUACCCGUUCUUACCUAGGGCAUUCCGGACGUGUGCCCGCUCAUUGUUUGUAUGUUGUGGGCUGGUGACUAUGCGUUCCGCUCUGUCAAAAAGACAUUUCACUAGGCCUCUCUUCACAGAAAUGGGGUGAUGUGAAUCAAACGGUAUGUAUUGGUCUGUGUGCUUGGGCUUCCUGUAGGCUGAGGUGGAGAGCCUGCCGUUUUCAUGUCUGUGCACUAGUGUGUCCAGGAAAGCUAUCUUCCCUUCACAUUCUGCCUCCGCUGUGAACUGGAUGGAUUGUUGGCGGCUGUUCAUGUGUUUGAGCAGGUUCUCCGCUUCUGCAUUAGGGACUAUGAUAAACGUGUCAUCAACGUAUCUCUUCCAUACCCGCGGUUUGCAAGAGUGGGACAGGUGAGUAGAGCUUCCUGUUCAAAACUCUCCAUGUACAAGUUGGCCACGAUGGCCGAAACCGGGCUGCCCAUGGCUGCCCCCUCCGUCUGCUCGUAGUACGAGCCGUUAUAGAGGAAGUAUGUAGACCGUAGGACGAACUCGAGGAGCUUGGUGACUUGCUCAGGAGAGAGAGCGGUGCGGGCUGUUAGGCUGUUGUCCGCCUGCAUGCGAUGUAGGGCCGUCUGGCAUGCGCCCUCUAUUGGUACGUUAGUGAAAAGAGAUACUACGUCGAACGAUAUCAUAGUUUCACUCUCACAGAUAGUUUGCUCUGCUAUGUACUCUGCAAACCCACUGGAGUUAGGCACUGUAUGCUCACUGGCACCCGUGAGUGGUGGAAAAAUCUCUGCUAGGUGCUUGGAGAGAUGGUAUGCAAACGAGCCUACGCAUGACACUAUGUGGCGUAGUGGUGUUGUGGGUUUAUGGAUCUUUGGUAAUCCGUAUAUCCUGGGUGGUUGCUUCUGCGUUGGCCUCAAUUUCUGAUACGUCGACUCAUCUAUUGCGUUUUUCUUCUUCAGGGCUAGCAACAUGCUAGUGAGUUUGCGGUACAUACUGUCUGUGGGAUCUUUCUUCAGCUUACGAUAUGGGCCAGUGUUCAGUAGGUCACUCAUUUUGUCAUGGUAUGUAGUUGUAUCUAGGAUUACCGUAGCCCGGCCCUUGUCUGCUGAUAGAAUACUUGCUUGAUAGGAUGUUUGUUACGUGUGAAAAACAAGCCGAUAUCCGCACUUACGAGAUGGUCGUGUAAAUGUGCUUGAUGCUAUGCAAUAUUUAGAGAUUCGUUGUAUUGCUGUAGCGUGUGUCAUCAGUUCAUGGGCUGUAGUAGCAUCAGAUGGCAUCAGAUGGCAUCAGAUGGCAUCAGAUGGCAUCAGAUGGCAUCAGAUGGCAUCAGAUGGCAUCUGCUCAUGUUCUGUGCGUGGUGCUAAAUAUUUUGAAGCCACUGCCUGCAUGUCAGAACCAGUGGUAUGUUAUAGGAACAGGGUCUGGCAUUUCAGUUGCUGCUGGUACAUCUAAGUUCCAAUUAGACCGCACGGUUGAUCCGUGUUUGUGCGGGCAAAUUAUUGCUAACUAUAGCAAGAUGUCUUGCAAGCCGACUGUUAAAACAGCCCACUCAAGCCGUGUUAAUCAUCGGUAGGUGGUGUUCUGGGCCAUGCGUGAGCAUCUAAAUUCCAGAACUUGUCCCUUUAAUCAAUGCAUUGGUUACCAGGAAUUAAGGGAGCUGAUUGUCAGAAACGUUGUAACUGACGUGUGUUAUGACGACUGUCAUGAAUCCAAGCUGUUAUAGCUUUUGCACGUGAAGUGUUCUGUGGAAGUUACAACAUCCCAGACUUACGGUAGCUGCUAGUAGUUCGUGUUUCUGACAAGGGCCCCUGAUGUUUGCUUAAUCCAGUAAUGUCAUUGUUUUGUAAGCGUGGCUUGUUAUGUUAGACAGUGCUAUUGGAAGAAGUGACUUUGUAAUCUGGCCCAAAAUCUUUCUUAAUGUGUUGAAUUCGGGUCUUUAAUGGUGAAAACUACUUUUAAAGUCGAGUUGGUGCAUAUACGUUUUAAACCUUCAUGCAAGCAUCAGCAGUGUGUCAACUGUGUAAUUAUAGUGAUCAAUGUUAUGUGUAAGAUAUUUAACAAUGCAAGAUUCUCAAAUGCAAGCACGAGUCACGUAAGAUUCGUGAAUGCAGGCGCUGUUUAUUCAUCCAGCAUUCACGCGAGAUUGACUUGAUCAGGCAACAAUUGCUGCGAGAGUCGUCCAUGUGAGCAGUGAUCAUCAGUUUAAAGGGAUACUUUCCCCUAGAAUUUUAGAGUAUGUUAUGAGAGUAAAUGCAUAAAUAAUAGCAUAUACCUAAAAAUUUCGAUAAUUAUGCAUUCACGUUUGUCAUAAAACAACAUUGAAUUUCGAAAUCUUAAUUUUUUGGGCGCUGACAUGACACCCGUGAUUGUGCUGCCACCCUGAAAAAGUUGCGCAUUAGCCAAUUUAUUUUGCACGUUACAGACCGGGGGCUAAUUACAAAAGUGCAAUUAUAUUUAUACCUAAAUGCUAUUUAACCAAACAAUAUUUAUUUCAGGACAAAUUCGUCCAUAUUAUAACUGAAACUAAGUGUCGUUUUUAAGUUAUCGCAAU
Molecule: long non-coding RNA, 6647 nt
Filed under: Priapulus caudatus
Lineage: Eukaryota; Metazoa; Priapulida; Priapulimorpha; Priapulimorphida; Priapulidae
Description: uncharacterized LOC106815055
Source: RNAcentral